CAGCAGCCGCGGGAAUACGUAGGGUGCAAGCGUUAAUCGGAAUUACUGGGCGUAAAGCGUGCGUAGGCGGUUUGUUAAGUCUGUUGUGAAAUCCCCGGGCUCAACCUGGGAAUGGCAAUGGAUACUGGCAAGCUAGAGUGUGUCAGAGGAUGGUGGAAUUCCCGGUGUAGCGGUGAAAUGCGUAGAGAUCGGGAGGAACAUCAGUGGCGAAGGCGGCCAUCUGGGACAACACUGACGCUGAGGCACGAAAGCGUGGGGAGCAAACAGGAUUAGAGACCCCUGUAGUCCCUGUCUCUUAUAA
This 301-nucleotide ribosomal RNA is filed under the name uncultured bacterium. RNAcentral describes it as "partial 16S ribosomal RNA". It matches the Rfam family "Bacterial small subunit ribosomal RNA", at positions 509 to 809 of the family's 1533-position model. The record is from RNAcentral.